RNAcentral lists this ribosomal RNA (124 nucleotides) under Escherichia coli. RNAcentral describes it as "partial 23S ribosomal RNA". The stretch from base 1 to 107 matches the Rfam family "Bacterial large subunit ribosomal RNA", at positions 2819 to 2925 of the family's 2925-position model. Lineage: Bacteria; Pseudomonadati; Pseudomonadota; Gammaproteobacteria; Enterobacterales; Enterobacteriaceae. The record is from RNAcentral.
UGAGAGUCCUGAAGGAACGUUGAAGACGACGACGUUGAUAGGCCGGAUGUGUAAGCGCAGCGAUGCGUUGAGCUAACCGGUACUAAUGAACCGUGAGGCUUAACCUUACAACGCCGAAGCUGUU